This 301-nucleotide ribosomal RNA is filed under the name uncultured bacterium. RNAcentral's name for it is "partial 16S ribosomal RNA". It matches the Rfam family "Bacterial small subunit ribosomal RNA", at positions 509 to 807 of the family's 1533-position model. The record is from RNAcentral.
CAGUCGCCACGGUAAUACGGAGGGUGCAAGCGUUAUCCGGAUUCACUGGGUUUAAAGGGUGCGUAGGCGGAUCUGUAAGUCAGUGGUAAAAUCUCCAGGCUUAACCUGGAAACUGCCGUUGAUACUAUAGGUCUUGAAUUUUGUGGAGGUUAGCGGAAUAUGUCAUGUAGCGGUGAAAUGCAUAGAUAUGACAUAGAACACCAAUUGCGAAGGCAGCUGGCUACACAACUAUUGACGCUGAGGCACGAAAGCGUGGGGAUCAAACAGGAUUAGAUACCCGCGUAGUCCCUGUCUCUUAUAC